Molecule: ribosomal RNA, 253 nt
Filed under: uncultured bacterium
Lineage: Bacteria
Description: partial 16S ribosomal RNA
Rfam family: Bacterial small subunit ribosomal RNA
Source: RNAcentral
UACAGAGGUCCCGAGCGUUGUUCGGAUUCACUGGGCGUAAAGGGUGCGCAGGUGGGUUGGCAAGUUCGAUGUGAAAGCCCCGGGCUUAACCCGGGAAUGGCAUUGGAAACUGCUGAUCUGGAGGAUCGGAGGGGGGAUUGGAAUUCUUGGUGUAGCAGUGAAAUGCGUAGAUAUCAAGAGGAACACCAGUGGCGAAGGCGAGUCCCUGGACGAUACCUGACACUGAGGCACGAAAGCCAAGGGAGCAAACAGG